Molecule: ribosomal RNA, 362 nt
Filed under: uncultured bacterium
Lineage: Bacteria
Description: partial 16S ribosomal RNA
Rfam family: Bacterial small subunit ribosomal RNA
Source: RNAcentral
CCUACGGGUGGCAGCAGUGAGGAAUAUUGGUCAAUGGACGCAAGUCUGAACCAGCCAAGCCGCGUGAGGGAAGACGGUUCUAUGAGUUGUAAACCUCUUUUGUACGGGGGUAAACGCAGGGACGCGUCUCUGUCUGAAUGUAUCGUACGAAUAAGGAUCGGCUAACUCCGUGCCAGCAGCCGCGGUAAUACGGAGGAUUCAAGCGUUAUCCGGAUUUAUUGGGUUUAAAGGGUGCGUAGGCGGUCGGAUAAGUUAGCGGUGAAAUCCCGGGGCUCAACUACGGAAUUGCCUUUGAUACUGGCAGGCUAGAGAGUAGUUGAGGUAGGCGGAAUGUGUGGUGUAGCGGUGAAAUGCUUAGAGAU